AGUGAAUAGAUACCCCCGGUAGUCCACGCUGUAAACGAUGAGUGCUGGACGUUGGCGGGUUUACCUGCCGGUGUCGCAGCUAAACGCGUUAAGCACUCCGCCUGGGGAGUACGGCCGCAAGGUUAAAACUCAAAGGAAUUGACGGGGGCCCGCACAAGCGGUGGAGCAUGUGGUUUAAUUCGACGCAACGCGCAGAACCUUACCAGCCCUUGACAUGGGCGGACGGGGUCCAGAGAUGGACUCUUUCUCGCAAGAGACCGCUACACAGGUGCUGCAUGGCUGUCGUCAGCUCGUGUCGUGAGAU
This 304-nucleotide ribosomal RNA is filed under the name uncultured bacterium. RNAcentral's name for it is "bacterial SSU rRNA". It matches the Rfam family "Bacterial small subunit ribosomal RNA", at positions 774 to 1073 of the family's 1533-position model. The record is from RNAcentral.